Molecule: transfer RNA, 66 nt
Filed under: Pheidole flavigaster
Lineage: Eukaryota; Metazoa; Arthropoda; Insecta; Hymenoptera; Formicidae
Description: tRNA-Val
Source: RNAcentral
UAAAUUUUAGUUUAAAUAAAAAUAAUUCAUUUACAUUGAAUAGAUUUUAAUGUAUAAAAAAUUUAA